UACGGGGGGAGCAAGCGUUGUUCGGAUUUACUGGGCGUAAAGGGCGCGUAGGCGGCCAGCACAAGUCAGUUGUGAAAUCUCCGAGCUUAACUCGGAACGGUCAACUGAUACUGUGCGGCUAGAGUGCGGAAGGGGCAACUGGAAUUCUUGGUGUAGCGGUGAAAUGCGUAGAUAUCAGGAGGAAUACCGAUGGCGAAGGCAGGUCUCUGGGCUGACACUGACGCUCAUGCACGAAAGCGUGGGGAGCAAACAGG
RNAcentral lists this ribosomal RNA (254 nucleotides) under uncultured bacterium. RNAcentral's name for it is "partial 16S ribosomal RNA". It matches the Rfam family "Bacterial small subunit ribosomal RNA", at positions 524 to 776 of the family's 1533-position model. The record is from RNAcentral.